CCUCCCCUCUAUGGGAAAGUGAGCUUUUUUUGUAAAGAGAAAACAAAGAAAAUGGCGAGAGAUGGAGAUAAACUCGGUUCCGCCUGCCCCAUUUUCUGAAUAAUCCCUGAGUGUGAGCAGUCCUGGGUUGGAUUUACCCCACCCAACACCCAGGCUACCAACUGCGAGCAGAUGAAAGGAAAGCUGCUGCUGGUUCUCAGAAUUUGAGGAGAUGACCUUGACAUUAAAAAGCUCGGGUCGAUGAGGAGGGGAACGCCACAAACGUAGGAGCAGAGAUGGCCUUGAUUUGACUUCAGUAAUACUGGAUUUACUUGAUAAGUUCCUCAUAAUGAACUGGAGACUGAGUAAAGAAGAACAGAACAUUCCACAAAACAUCCAAACAAUAUCAAGAUGACAAUUUGAAGGGUGUUGUAAAUGGAAAGGCUAUCACUACAGUUUCUCGGGCUGCAGUACUGAGUACUCAGCGAUUGUUUCCUUGAUGGAUGAAUCUUACUCACAGAAGGAGGAGGUACGGAGAACUGUCCCGUCUCUUGGUCUGACCAUGCUGCUUGGAGAUAACAGCUGGACUGUUAACCAUUAGAACCAGAUUUCAAAUUGAGCUUUCUGUCUAGCUGAAUUCAGUGAGAGUUGUAAUGAUGGUGUGAAAUGUUUUAUGUCACAAUGUGUUUUCAUGCUGUUGAUUGCCAUUUUAACGUUUCUUUUCAAGGGAAUGAGCCAAUGGUGCAGAAAUAUUUGGAGUACUUGCCCUUAAGAUUUAACUAUAAAUAAAGUUACCUAAUGUUUUGUGUAACAAUUGCUUUCUGUGCCUAAUUUAUUUAAAGUGUGUUAUCUCAGUAGUUGAGACUCUGGGGCUAUGGGGAAGGCUGUAUUACUAACUUUCCAACAUUCUCUGAGAUAAAAGUCAUCUGGAGUUGUUUUAUUUUUGGAUGUGUAGCUGAAGUUGGUCCAGAAUGCAAACUGUGUUCAGAGCUAACAAAUUGCUGAAUUUUUGAGGUUUAUACCAAAAAGCUGCUGUUGUAUAGAGGGGUCUGGUACCAAAUUGAUUACGGUACUGGUCUAGUGUAGAAGGGUCUGGUACUGUUGUGAUUAUGGUACUGGACUAGUGUAGAGGGCCCUGGUACCACAGUGAUUUUGGCACUGGUCUAGUGUAGAAGGGCCUGGUACUGGACUAAGAAAGGUAAGAAAUCGGAGCAGAAAGAACAUUAUGAUAUGGCUGAUAAUCUGCCUCAACUCCACUUUCCCACCUGCUCCCAAUAUCCCCAAUUCUCUCAAGAGACCAAAAAUCUGUCUAUUCCGGCUUUAAAUGUAUUCAACGAUGGAGCAUCCACAACCCUCUGGGGUAGAGAAUUUCAAAGUUUUGAGCUUUUGAGUAAAGAAAUUUCUCCGCAUCUCAAUCCUAAGCAGUCAGCCUAUGAUCCUGAGACUGUGCCCCUUGUUCUAGAUUCCCUGACCAUGGGAAACAACCUCUCUAUGUUUACACUAUAAAGCCCCUUCAGAAUCUUUCAUGUUUCAAUGAGAUCACCUCUCAUUCGUCUAAACUCCAGAGAAUAUAAGCCCAAUUUACUCAGCAUCUCAUCCUAGGACAACCCUCUCACCCCAGUUACUAACUGACUGAACCCUCACUGUACCACCUCAAGGCAAGUAUAUCAUUCCUUAAAUGUGGAGAUCAAAACUGUAUUCCAGGUGUGGUCUCACCAAA
Molecule: long non-coding RNA, 1699 nt
Organism: Carcharodon carcharias (great white shark)
Lineage: Eukaryota; Metazoa; Chordata; Chondrichthyes; Lamniformes; Lamnidae
Exons: 4
Source: RefSeq, a predicted model, not a curated record